This 253-nucleotide ribosomal RNA is filed under the name uncultured bacterium. RNAcentral's name for it is "partial 16S ribosomal RNA". It matches the Rfam family "Bacterial small subunit ribosomal RNA", at positions 524 to 776 of the family's 1533-position model. The record is from RNAcentral.
UACAGGGGGGGCAAGCGUUGUUCGGAAUUACUGGGCGUAAAGGGUUUGUAGGUGGCUUGUUAAGUCAGACGUGAAAUCCCUCAGCUUAACUGGGGAACUGCGUCUGAUACUGAUGAGCUUGAGUGCAGGAGAGGAACGCGGAAUUCCAGGUGUAGCGGUGAAAUGCGUAGAUAUCUGGAGGAACACCGGUGGCGAAGGCGACAUCCUGGACCGGUAUUGACGCUGAGGCGCGAAAGCCAGGGGAGCAAACGGG